Non-coding RNA from Ictidomys tridecemlineatus (thirteen-lined ground squirrel), 72 nucleotides. Lineage: Eukaryota; Metazoa; Chordata; Mammalia; Rodentia; Sciuridae. The record is from Rfam.
GGGGCUGUAGCUCAGUGGUAAAGCACUUGCCUUGCACGUGUGAGGCAUUGGGUUCAAUCCUCAGCACCACCU